CCUACGGGGGGCUGCAGUGGGGAAUAUUGGACAAUGGGGGCAACCCUGAUCCAGCCAUGCCGCGUGUGUGAAGAAGGCCCUCGGGUUGUAAAGCACUUUCAGUGAGGAAGAACGCCUGGUGGUUAAUACCCAUCAGGAAAGACAUCACUCACAGAAGAAGCACCGGCUAACUCCGUGCCAGCAGCCGCGGUAAUACGGAGGGUGCGAGCGUUAAUCGGAAUUACUGGGCGUAAAGCGCGCGUAGGUGGCUUGAUAAGCCGGUUGUGAAAGCCCGGGCUCAACCUGGGAACGGCAUCCGGAACUGUCAAGCUAGAGUGCAGGAGAGGAAGGUAGAAUUCCCGGUGUAGCGGUGAAAUGCGUAGAGAUCGGGAGGAAUACCAGUGGCGAAGGCGGCCUUCUGGACUGACACUGACACUGAGGUGCGAAAGCGUGGGUAGCAAACAGGAUUAGAUACCCUAGUAGUC
RNAcentral lists this ribosomal RNA (464 nucleotides) under Vreelandella stevensii. RNAcentral describes it as "partial 16S ribosomal RNA". It matches the Rfam family "Bacterial small subunit ribosomal RNA", at positions 338 to 795 of the family's 1533-position model. Lineage: Bacteria; Pseudomonadati; Pseudomonadota; Gammaproteobacteria; Oceanospirillales; Halomonadaceae. The record is from RNAcentral.